CCUACGGGAGGCAGCAGUGAGGAAUAUUGGUCAAUGGACGAGAGUCUGAAGCAGCCAAGCAGCGUGAAGGAUGACUGCCCUAUGGGUUGUAAACUUCUUUUAUAUGGGAAUAAAAUGUUCCAAGUGUGGGAUUUCGUAUGUACUAUAUGAAUAAGGAUCGGCUAACUCCGUGCCAGCAGCCGAGGUGAUACGGAGGAUCCGAGCGUUAUCCGGAUUUAUGGGGUUUAAAGGGAGCGUAGGUGGUGUGUUAAGUCAGUUGUGAAAGUUUGCGGCUCAACCGUAAAAUUGCAGUUGAAACUGGCAGUCUUGAGUACAGUAGAGGUGGGCGGAAUUCGUGGUGUAGCGGUGAAAUGCUUAGAGAUCACGAAGAACUCCGGUUGCGAAGGCAGUUCACUGGACUGCAACUGACGCUGAGGCUCGAAAGUGUGGGGAUCAAACAGGAUUAGAUACCCCUGUAGUC
This 460-nucleotide ribosomal RNA is filed under the name uncultured bacterium. Its description in RNAcentral is "partial 16S ribosomal RNA". It matches the Rfam family "Bacterial small subunit ribosomal RNA", at positions 338 to 795 of the family's 1533-position model. The record is from RNAcentral.